AUACAAUAUAGAACAGCUAGCUCUGCUGAAACAUUAAAAAAAAAUGGUAAAUAGAUGCUAUCAAGCCCUAGGUUAAAAGCACACAAUAUAGAGCUGAUAAGUAGUAAAUUUUAUCAUUUCUCUGUAAUUAUAAAUCAAAAUACUUAUUUAAUCUCACGAACAAAAAGAAAAGGUAAAUAAACAAUUUAAAGCUUUGCAUUGAGCAAAAGAAUAUGAAAUAUUCUAGUUAACGCUAUAAUUCUUUUUAGACUACAAAUAUUAAUGAAAAAAAUAUAAUUAUACUUAAAUUUUUAAUUCGAAAUAUUA
This is a non-coding RNA of Biomphalaria pfeifferi, 306 nucleotides long. NCBI's taxonomy places the organism in Eukaryota, Metazoa, Mollusca, Gastropoda, Planorbidae. The record is from the annotation of a GenBank genome assembly.